RNAcentral lists this ribosomal RNA (433 nucleotides) under uncultured bacterium. Its description in RNAcentral is "partial 16S ribosomal RNA". It matches the Rfam family "Bacterial small subunit ribosomal RNA", at positions 29 to 507 of the family's 1533-position model. The record is from RNAcentral.
AACGAACGCUGGCGGCAUGCCUAACACAUGCCAGUCGAACGAGACCUUCGGGUCUAGUGGCGCACGGGUGCGUAACGCGUGGGAACCUGCCCUUAGGUUCGGAAUAACUCCCCGAAAGGGGUGCUAAUACCGGAUAAUGUCUUCGGACCAAAGAUUUAUCGCCUUUGGAUGGGCCCGCGUUGGAUUAGCUAGUUGGUAGGGUAAAAGCCUACCAAGGCGACGAUCCAUAGCUGGUCUGAGAGGAUGAUCAGCCACACUGGGACUGAGACACGGCCCAGACUCCUACGGGAGGCAGCAGUGGGGAAUAUUGGACAAUGGGCGAAAGCCUGAUCCAGCAAUGCCGCGUGAGUGAUGAAGGCCUUAGGGUUGUAAAGCUCGUUUACCCGGGAUGAUAAUGACAGUACCGGGAGAAUAAGCUCCGGCUAACUCCGUG